CCUUUUGUUGAAUCUUUUAUUAAAGUUCCCCCCCCCCCCCCCUUUUUUUUUUUUUUUUUUUUUUUUCCCUUCUCCUGUUAAGUUUCUUAAUCCUAAUGGUGUUUUUCUGUCUUGGUCAGAUGUUUAUCCACUGUAGUACAUCAGUGUGCCAUUCUCUUUCUGGCUCCUGUGAGCGGAGUUGCUCACGGAAAAGAAGGCAUGUUGAUGUCAAGGCAGUCUCAAGUGAGCACACCAUAGUUUCUAGUGGAGAAGUUACCCUGGUCAUAUAAAUGUUAUGAUGGCUGUUUCAAUGAACUCCAUGAAACCUUGAAUAUGUCUGGAGUUUGUGGUUGUUUGGGCUAGCUUGUUCAGUGGAGUUUGUUAAAUUUGUACAUAAGUGUUCAAAGUUGUUCUCUUCCCAAGUAACCGUAAUCUACACUGCUUUGACUUCAGCUUUCCUGGAAAACUGGAAGUUUUGUACUUCUCUUUUGCCUGUCCAUAUUGAGUUUUUGGCCAUGAUGACACAAAGGUCCAGUUACUAUGCGUUUAGGUGUUAACUUCCCUCCCUCAGCUUUGUAUACCUAUGAACACUAGGGUCACCUGCUGACACGGCAUCACCAUAACGAGCCCCCUCAUACCUUUGCUUGUGUAUUGAGUAGCAGUGUUGGGAUAACACAUUACAAGUAAUGUGAGUUAUGUAAUCAGAUUACUUUUUCCAAGUAACUAGUAAAGUCAUUUUAAUUUACAAGAAAAUAUUGGCGUUACUCUUUUGCAAAGUUAUGCCGAGUUCACACUGCACGAUUUUAGCCCGAUUUCACUCGCCCACAGGUUGUGAAAUCGCCAACAAAUGCCCAAAAUCGGAGGCAAAUCAGUGCUUGUUCACGUGAGUGACAAUCACGCAGUGAAUUAUCAAAGACUCUAUCUGAGGGAAUCGCCAAUGCCGUGAAAUAUUUGGCAUGCUAAAUAUCUGGAGCUGUUGGCGAUUCACAAUCACGCUGUGAAAUGAGUUCUGACUGAAAAACACAUCGGCGAUGACCUACAGCGUUAAAUUAAACAGUUUGCAAACCAUUGUUGCCAAAUCCGCGAUUGCGGCUGGUUGUUUGUAAGCAGGUUGAAGUGACCCCAAUAACGUGAUAUUUAG
Molecule: long non-coding RNA, 1120 nt
Filed under: Sinocyclocheilus rhinocerous
Lineage: Eukaryota; Metazoa; Chordata; Actinopteri; Cypriniformes; Cyprinidae
Description: lncRNA (ENSSRHG00000016712.1)
Source: RNAcentral